AAAGCUUCUAAACGAACCUAUGGCAUAACGUAUUCUUCUCCCGAAAAUUAUGACAGUUCAUGUUACUGGAUAUACAUAUAAUUGCGUAAUUAUUAUACUGAUUGUUGGGAUGACUUUGAAGAUGGGAAAUUUCACUAUGAAUGUUAUUAUUUCAUAAAGAAGUAAUGAAGUUUGAUAUUUUGUAUUGAAAAUGGUACAUAAAGUUAGAGUAUGCGAGUUGUUUGCCAAGCUCGGGUGUCUCGGGACGUUUUCCCUAAUGUAGGCUUUUGUGCCCGAGUGUCAUAUAUGAGAACAUGCGGAGUAAAUGUGUUGGUGUGCCUGUUUUGCCAGGUAGUAUAUUUUCUGGUAUGUCUGCUAAUUAUAAAUAGGUAGGGCCGGGCAGAUUGUCACAGUCUCUAGUCGGGUUAGGGACAUUUUUGCGUGACAACCUGCUUCUGGAAAUAAAAUUUGAAGAAUCGAGGGUAAAGCUGGAACGAGUGAAGAAUGUCGCUCAUUUUUGGCUUUGCCUAUCGGUUUUUCGAAUUUUCGCGGUCUCUAGAAAUCUUGAAACGAGCGUUGCGCUUGACAUUUUACGGAUAACGAUCAUUACGAUCAUUAUUAAUUUCCUUUGUUAUUUUUUUUUUAUUU
Molecule: long non-coding RNA, 627 nt
Organism: Apis mellifera (honey bee)
Lineage: Eukaryota; Metazoa; Arthropoda; Insecta; Hymenoptera; Apidae
Exons: 3
Source: RefSeq, a predicted model, not a curated record